AAAAACUCAAUUCUUAAGUUGCCGUGUACAACAUUUAACUAUUUAUCUUAUAUGAAUUUUUUCUAUAAUUAGUAUUUUUAUUGUUGUUAGAUGAUAAAACAUGGAUAAUAUUUUUUGUGUGACUUAUUUUUAAUAUUUUUUAAAAAUAAUACGGACGUUCAAACGCUAGACACGAAAAUCCA
Molecule: microRNA precursor, 182 nt
Filed under: Oryza sativa Japonica Group (Japanese rice)
Lineage: Eukaryota; Viridiplantae; Streptophyta; Magnoliopsida; Poales; Poaceae
Description: MIR812 microRNA precursor family
Rfam family: MIR812 microRNA precursor family
Source: Rfam by way of RNAcentral